UAGACGCCUCAUUCUGUUUGCAUUGUAACCACGGUGGCCUCUAGAGAACGGAAAGACGACAUGUUUCCGGCCGACACUCAUCAUCCAAUUGUAGUUUUUUUAAGUGAAGCUUCAGAACGUAGCGAAAAGAUGCUCAGAAGUCCUUUUACUUGAAUACGAAAAGAGCGACACAUAUUGCCUGAACCAUGGAAACACUGAAUGUCCAAAACCAAGUAAUUCGAAAUGUUGAAGUGUCAUGGUUGGCCCGUCUGCGGUAUAGCUCUGUAAGUUUCAGACUCACGCAGCAAUAAACACAUGCUGACCAUCUGAGCUGUCGACCAUAUUCCCAUCAUCCAAAGUAACACCUUGCAUAAGUGGAUUUGAAGCCAUUUCAAGAAAAUCAUUUAUUGCUGGUAUUAGCGGUUGUUGAUGUGUGCUGGUAGAUGGUACUGAGCUGUAUCGAGUUGCCAUGUCCAUGGGUGAAAAAAGAAAAAAAAACACAAAUAUAAAAUAAUUCUGCUACUUGGAUAAUGUCAGUGUACUAAAAAGUCAAGUAAAAUAAAACAAUAUAAAAAGUA
Protopterus annectens (West African lungfish) is the source of this 557-nucleotide long non-coding RNA. RefSeq lists it as uncharacterized. Lineage: Eukaryota; Metazoa; Chordata; Ceratodontiformes; Protopteridae. The record is from RefSeq and is a predicted model, not a curated record. The transcript is spliced from 3 exons.